CAAUUAUCAAUAAAAAAUUUAAGCAUUAUCGUAAAAUUAACAUGAAGAGCUACUUAAAUGAAAAUUGCAAAAUAAUAUAAAAACUAUAAAUGAAAUUAACAAUAAAUUGCAAAUAUAGACAUAUCCAAAGGCCAAUCCAUACAAAAUUGAUUGAUCCUAUUUUCCCUCUAUUUUUGCCCUAAACCACUAAAAUAAGGAAGCAGCCAUUAUUGAACAAACAAAUCAUCUCCAAAUAGGUAGAGAAUUCUCUCAACAGCCCAACUGGGCUCAGACUUGACCCAAGCCGAGCACUGUGAAGUGGUCAAAAGAGGCGCCCUACAUAGCGGACAAGUUUUGUGAUUAUCAUGAUCAUGAUCUACCCAUCUAUCAAUGCACUCUUUGUGGAACACGUGGCAGCAGUUCCUCAGUUCCCUGACCACAUCAUGGUCUCUCAAAUGGACCAAGCAGACAGCACACUUGUCACAAGCUCUUGAAAACCUCUGUGUGAUGUCACCAAAAGUGGUCAAGAUCAGACCGUCCCUUAUCUGCUGGGAAGAAGGGAGAGGAUGGGAUUGGUGUAGAGAAUCAUUGGCAGAGGAAGGUAAAUGGGUUCUGUUUCUGAACUUGAGUGCCCAAGACAAAGCCCAUCUCAAGACUGCCAGAAUAACAGCUACCUUGUACAGGAGAUGGGUUACUAUUACACCUGAAUCUUCUACAAAGAAACCCAUUGAAAGAAAGUGCAAAUUUAUGAAGAAAAAGCAGCAGAAACCAAGAACACAAGCAAGAGAAGGAAGAAGAGAGAAAGGGGAGGAGCAAAGGAGGAUUUGGG
This 808-nucleotide unclassified non-coding RNA is filed under the name Hevea brasiliensis (rubber tree). The record is from RNAcentral. Lineage: Eukaryota; Viridiplantae; Streptophyta; Magnoliopsida; Malpighiales; Euphorbiaceae.